RNAcentral lists this ribosomal RNA (422 nucleotides) under uncultured archaeon. Its description in RNAcentral is "partial 16S ribosomal RNA". It matches the Rfam family "Archaeal small subunit ribosomal RNA", at positions 323 to 746 of the family's 1478-position model. The record is from RNAcentral.
CUACGGGGUGCUGCAGGCGAGAAAACUUUGCAAUGUGCGAAAGCACGACAAGGUUAAUCCGAGUGGUUUCUGCUAAAGGAACCUUUUGUCGGUCCUAGAAACACCGAUGAAUAAGGGGUGGGCAAGUUCUGGUGUCAGCCGCCGCGGUAAAACCAGCACCUCAAGUGGUCAGGAUGAUUAUUGGGCCUAAAGCAUCCGUAGCCGGCUCUGUAAGUUUUCGGUUAAAUCUGUACGCUUAACGUACAGGCUGCCGGGAAUACUGCAUAGCUAGGGAGUGGGAGAGGUAGACGGUACUCGGUAGGAAGGGGUAAAAUCCUUUGAUCUAUUGAUGACCACCUGUGGCGAAGGCGGUCUACCAGAACACGUCCGACGGUGAGGGAUGAAAGCUGGGGGAGCAAACCGGAUUAGAUACCCCCGUAGUC